This is a long non-coding RNA of Daphnia pulicaria, 1022 nucleotides long. RefSeq lists it as uncharacterized. NCBI's taxonomy places the organism in Eukaryota, Metazoa, Arthropoda, Branchiopoda, Diplostraca, Daphniidae. The transcript is spliced from 3 exons. The record is from RefSeq and is a predicted model, not a curated record.
UUAUCAAGCUGCUGAAAAUGACGUGUAAAAUUGCAAUUUAUUGUCUUAUUCUUCUUGUAGCCUUGAUUGGCUUGGUAUGGGCAGCACCACUCAAUCACGCAGAUAACGGAGGUGAGUGUGGCUAUAAAGUUACGUGUGUAGAGACAACGUUUCGUGAUGGAUCGUCAAAGUCAAAGUGGUCGAUUUCUGGCGAAGAAAUAAGACUGCCUUCCGGAUGGAGGAAUAUUGGGUCAGCUGUCAGCCCGGUCCCCAGCUUGGAUGGAGAAUUUUCCCACGAAUAUGUUUGGUUCCAACUGGAUCAAUCGGCUCCUGCUCGUGGCGAUGGAGGAGGAAGACUGUGCUGAUUAAAGCAAUUAAAAUAUUGUGAAUUUUAUUCUGUGAAUAUUUAAAGCUGCCAUGCAUUGUACAUGACUCAGAUGUCAACAUUAAAAGUGUGACAUAAAAUGCUUCGAAUUUUAGAUCUAGCCUGUACCUACUUACUUAUAAAUAAUCUAAACACUAGUUUUACUUGAAAUGAAAAACAAAAUGUAAUAAGAUAAAAUUUAGAAUUUUUAUUAUGUAGAAUUUAUCCAUCUCCACAUCACUCUCCUGCUGAACCAAUUUUAAAAAUUAUUUUUCACAUGAAUUUAAAUCGUUUCUUCAGCCCCAAAAAUAAUAAAAAUAUACAUGCAUUUAUAGUAAAUCACGUUCUAGCAUAUGAAAAAAAAACGUAUUAAAAGGAAAUCAGGGAUUUAAAACGUUUGCAUGUGCAAGGAUUUGAACCGUUGACAGUCUGACACAGAAAAAUAAAACGGAUCACCAGACAACGUGCACACUGUCGUCCCCACAUGACAUGGGCGCAUACACACCCGACAAGCCGCAGACGUCUACUCACAGUAGUGCAAUGUAACAGAGUUACCCUGUGAGGUGCGUUGUGCCCAACAAUCCGGACGCUCCUACCACUACCCCAUGAGCGUCACCAAAGGAUUACGUUUUUGAAAAGUAGACAUUUAAUUCGUCCAUUCAUAAAAUCUUGGAUUCGA